This 866-nucleotide ribosomal RNA is filed under the name uncultured bacterium. Its description in RNAcentral is "bacterial SSU rRNA". It matches the Rfam family "Bacterial small subunit ribosomal RNA", at positions 8 to 833 of the family's 1533-position model. The record is from RNAcentral.
AGAGUUUGAUCCUGGCUCAGGAUGAACGCUGGCGGCAUGCCUAAGACAUGCAAGUCGAACGAGGUGGCCCAAAGAAGAUUGAGUGCUUGCACAAGAUUGGACUUGGAUUACCACCUAGUGGCGGACGGGUGAGUAACACGUAGGUGACCUACCUUUGAGUUUGGGAUAACUAUUAGAAAUGAUAGCUAAUACCGAAUUAGAUGCAGAUUCGUUUCUGUAUUAAAAGGAGCCUUUAAAGCUUCGCUUAAAGAUGGGCCUGCGGCGUAUUAGCUAGUUGGUGAGGUAAUGGCUUACCAAGGCGACGAUGCGUAGCCGAACUGAGAGGUUGAUCGGCCACAUUGGGACUGAGACACGGCCCAAACUCCUACGGGAGACAGCAGUUAGGAAUAUUCGUCAAUGGGGGAAACCCUGAACGAGCAAUGCCGCGUGAACGAUGAAGGCCCUAUGGGUUGUAAAGUUCUGUUGCAUGGGACGAACGAUUAGGAUAGGAAAUGAUCUUAAUGUGACGGUACCAUGCCAGAAAGCUCCGGCUAACUACGUGCCAGCAGCCGCGGUAAUACGUAGGGAGCAAGCGUUAUCCGGAUUUAUUGGGCGUAAAGGGUGCGUAGGCGGCUUGUUAAGUAUGAGAUUAAAGCCCGAGGCUUAACCUCGGUUCGUUUCAUAAACUGGCAGGCUUGAGUGUGGCAGAGGUAAACGGAAUUUCUAGUGUAGCGGUUAAAUGCGUAGAUAUUAGAAGGAACACCAGUGGCGAAGGCGGUUUACUGGGCCAUAACUGACGCUGAGGCACGAAAGCGUGGGGAGCAAAUAGGAUUAGAUACCCUAGUAGUCCACGCCGUAAACGAUGAGUACUAAGUGUUGGGGCAACC